This 253-nucleotide ribosomal RNA is filed under the name uncultured bacterium. RNAcentral's name for it is "partial 16S ribosomal RNA". It matches the Rfam family "Bacterial small subunit ribosomal RNA", at positions 524 to 776 of the family's 1533-position model. The record is from RNAcentral.
GACGGAAGGUGCAAGCGUUGCUCGGAAUCACUGGGCGUAAAGCGCACGUAGGCGGCUUUCUAAGUCAGGGGUGAAAUCCUGGAGCUCAACUCCAGAACUGCCUUUGAUACUGGAGAGCUUGAGUCCGGAAGAGGUGAGUGGAACUCCGAGUGUAGAGGUGAAAUUCGUAGAUAUUCGGAAGAACACCAGUGGCGAAGGCGGCUCACUGGUCCGGUACUGACGCUGAGGUGCGAAAGCGUGGGGAGCAAACAGG